GACGUAGGGCGCGAGCGUUGUCCGGAUUUAUUGGGCGUAAAGAGCUCGUAGGCGGCUUGUCGCGUCGACUGUGAAAACCCGCGGCUCAACUGCGGGCCUGCAGCCGAUACGGGCAGGCUAGAGUUCGGUAGGGGAGACUGGAAUUCCUGGUGUAGCGGUGAAAUGCGUAGAUAUCUGGAGGAACACCGGUGGCGAAGGCGGCAUCCUGGACCGGCAUUGACGCUGAGGCGCGAGAGCCAGGGGAGCAAACGGG
This 253-nucleotide ribosomal RNA is filed under the name uncultured bacterium. RNAcentral's name for it is "partial 16S ribosomal RNA". It matches the Rfam family "Bacterial small subunit ribosomal RNA", at positions 524 to 776 of the family's 1533-position model. The record is from RNAcentral.